This 331-nucleotide ribosomal RNA is filed under the name uncultured bacterium. Its description in RNAcentral is "bacterial SSU rRNA". It matches the Rfam family "Bacterial small subunit ribosomal RNA", at positions 143 to 507 of the family's 1533-position model. The record is from RNAcentral.
AUAGCCUCGGGAAACUGAGAGUAAUACCGUAUGUGCCCUUCGGGGGAAAGAUUUAUCGCCAAAGGAUUGGCCCGCGUUUGGAUUAGGUAGUUGGUGGGGUAAUGGCCUACCAAGCCGACGAUCCAUAGCUGGUUUGAGAGGAUGAUCAGCAACACUGGGACUGAGACACGGCCCAGACUCCUACGGGAGGCAGCAGUGGGGAAUCUUAGACAAUGGGCGAAAGCCUGAUCUAGCCAUGCCGCGUGGACGAUGAAGGCCUUAGGGUUGUAAAGUCCUUUCAGAUGGGAAGAUAAUGACGGUACCAUCAGAAGAAGCCCCGGCUAACUCCGUG